This 675-nucleotide ribosomal RNA is filed under the name uncultured Synechococcus sp. Its description in RNAcentral is "bacterial SSU rRNA". It matches the Rfam family "Bacterial small subunit ribosomal RNA", at positions 8 to 720 of the family's 1533-position model. The record is from RNAcentral. Lineage: Bacteria; Bacillati; Cyanobacteriota; Cyanophyceae; Synechococcales; Synechococcaceae.
AGGCUUUGAUCCUGGCUCAGGGUGAACGCUGGCGGCGUGCUUAACACAUGCAAGUCGAACGAACCUUCGGGUUAGUGGCGGACGGGUGAGUAACGCGUGAGAAUCUGCCCUCAGGAGGGGGAUAACGGCUGGAAACGGCCGCUAAUACCCCAUAUGCCGAGAGGUGAAACGAAUUUCGCCUGAGGAUGUGCUCGCGUCUGAUUAGCUAGUUGGUGGGGUAAAGGCCUACCAAGGCGACGAUCAGUAGCUGGUCUGAGAGGAUGAUCAGCCACACUGGGACUGAGACACGGCCCAGACUCCUACGGGAGGCAGCAGUGGGGAAUUUUCCGCAAUGGGCGAAAGCCUGACGGAGCAACGCCGCGUGAGGGAUGAAGGCCUCUGGGCUGUAAACCUCUUUUCUCAAGGAAGAAGAUCUGACGGUACUUGAGGAAUAAGCCACGGCUAAUUCCGUGCCAGCAGCCGCGGUAAUACGGGAGUGGCAAGCGUUAUCCGGAAUUAUUGGGCGUAAAGCGUCCGCAGGCGGCUUUGAAAGUCUGUCGUUAAAGCGUGGAGCUUACUCAUUCAGCGAUGGAACUACAGGCUGAGUGUGUAGGGCAGAGAAUCCGGUGUACCGUGAAUCGAAUUCGGAGACACAGUGCAGGCCCGCUGGCAACGCCCAUGACAGCAGGACAAGAA